CUAGCGACUUCAGAGUUUGAUCCUGGCUCAGGACGAACGCUGGCGGCGUGCUUAACACAUGCAAGUCGAACGGAAAGGCCCUGCUUGCAGGGUACUCGAGUGGCGAACGGGUGAGUAACACGUGGGUGAUCUGCCCUGCACUUCGGGAUAAGCCUGGGAAACUGGGUCUAAUACCGGAUAGGAGCCAUUUUAGUGUGAUGGUUGGAAAGUUUUUUCGGUGUAGGAUGAGCUCGCGGCCUAUCAGCUUGUUGGUGGGGUAAUGGCCUACCAAGGCGGCGACGGGUAGCCGGCCUGAGAGGGUGGACGGCCACAUUGGGACUGAGAUACGGCCCAG
This 334-nucleotide ribosomal RNA is filed under the name uncultured bacterium. RNAcentral describes it as "bacterial SSU rRNA". It matches the Rfam family "Bacterial small subunit ribosomal RNA", at positions 1 to 334 of the family's 1533-position model. The record is from RNAcentral.